RNAcentral lists this small nuclear RNA (83 nucleotides) under Felis catus (domestic cat). RNAcentral's name for it is "U4 spliceosomal RNA". It matches the Rfam family "U4 spliceosomal RNA", at positions 1 to 83 of the family's 138-position model. From Rfam's summary of the family: U4 small nuclear RNA (U4 snRNA) is a component of the major U2-dependent spliceosome. The structure of U4 snRNA from yeast and human has been reported. The record is from Rfam by way of RNAcentral. Lineage: Eukaryota; Metazoa; Chordata; Mammalia; Carnivora; Felidae.
AGCUUUGCCCAGUGACAAUAUCGUAGCCAAUGAGGUUUAUCCAAAGCGCGAUUAUUGCUAAUUGAAAUCUAAUGGCUCUUCUC